This 525-nucleotide ribosomal RNA is filed under the name uncultured bacterium. RNAcentral describes it as "bacterial SSU rRNA". It matches the Rfam family "Bacterial small subunit ribosomal RNA", at positions 8 to 518 of the family's 1533-position model. The record is from RNAcentral.
AGAGUUUGAUUAUGGCUCAGGAUGAACGCUAGCUACAGGCUUAACACAUGCAAGUCGAGGGGCAGCAUGAAACUUAGCUUGCUAAGUUCGAUGGCGACCGGCGCACGGGUGAGUAACACGUAUCCAACCUACCGUUUACUACGGGAUAGCCUUCUGAAAAAGGAGAUUAAUACCGUAUGGCAUUCUAAAGUUUCAUGACAUUAGAAUUAAAGGUUUACCGGUAAUCGAUGGGGAUGCGUUCCAUUAGAUAGUAGGCGGGGUAACGGCCCACCUAGUCAGCGAUGGAUAGGGGUUCUGAGAGGAAGGUCCCCCACAUUGGAACUGAGACACGGUCCAAACUCCUACGGGAGGCAGCAGUGAGGAAUAUUGGUCAAUGGGCGAGAGCCUGAACCAGCCAAAAGUAGCGUGAAGGAUGACUGCCCUAUGGGUUGUAAACUUCUUUUAUAAAGGAAUAAAGUGGUCCACGUGUGGAUUUUUGUAUGUACUUUAUGAAUAAGGAUCGGCUAACUCCGUGCCAGCCGCGGC